AGGGAUUGCCCUAGUAACGGCGAGUGAAGCGGCAACAGCUCAAAUUUGAAACCUGGCGCAAGCCCGGAUUGUAAUUUGUAGAGGAUGCUUCUGGGCAGCGGCCGUUCUAAGUUCCUUGGAACAGGACGUCAUAGAGGGUGAGAAUCCCGUAUGUGACCGGCGCGCACCCUCCACGUAGCUCCUUCGACGAGUCGAGUUGUUUGGGAAUGCAGCUCUAAAUGGGUGGUAAAUUCCAUCUAAAGCUAAAUAUUGGCCAGAGACCGAUAGCGCACAAGUAGAGUGAUCGAAAGAUGAAAAGCACUUUGGAAAGAGAGUUAAAAAGCACGUGAAAUUGUUGAAAGGGAAGCGCUUACAACCAGACUCCGCGGCGGUGUUCCGCCGGUCUUCUGACCGGUCUACUCGCCGCCGUGGGGCCAACAUCGUCUGGGGCCGCCGGAUAAGACCGUAGGAAUGUAGCUCAUUGAGUGUUAUAGCCUGCGGUGAUGCGGCGCGCCCCGGGCGAGGUCCGCGCUUCGGCAAGGAUGUGG
Molecule: ribosomal RNA, 527 nt
Filed under: Zasmidium sp.
Lineage: Eukaryota; Fungi; Ascomycota; Dothideomycetes; Mycosphaerellales; Mycosphaerellaceae
Description: partial large subunit ribosomal RNA
Rfam family: Eukaryotic large subunit ribosomal RNA
Source: RNAcentral